UCACAGUGCGGAGAGUGGGCCGGUCCCCGAGGCUGCGGUAGAUGACAGCGUCGAUGGCUAGGAAGUCGGUCACGGUGGCCGUGAAGAGCAUCCCUUCUGGUUGGGUUCAGGGGCCAGGGGUCCCUCCCGGCCUACACCAGAGCCACAGCAACCUGGUAUCCAAGCAGCAUCUGGAGUAGCUUGCUGCAACGCUGGAUCCUUAACCCACUGAGUGAGGCCAGGGAUGGAACCUAAAUCCUCAUGGACACUAGUCAAUACUACUAAGCUGGAAUACCUCUGCAACUGGAGCCUCACGACCUCUCCAGAGGGCCUGUUUCCUGCUCCCAUUCAAGAGAAUUUGAAGAACCUUCCAGGGCCGCACCUGCGGCAUCAGAGCUACAGCUGCCAGCCUACAC
Sus scrofa (pig) is the source of this 395-nucleotide long non-coding RNA. RefSeq lists it as uncharacterized. NCBI's taxonomy places the organism in Eukaryota, Metazoa, Chordata, Mammalia, Artiodactyla, Suidae. The record is from RefSeq and is a predicted model, not a curated record.